UUGUUGUUUUUCUAUUUCCUGGGGUUGUGUGCGCGCUCUGUACAGCUGUGUAGUAACGGUGUUUUUUUAAGUAAGAAAUACGACAUCUGUCCUAAAAGCGUGAAAGCUUUCGAAAAAAGGAAUUAGGCAAGCGACGAGCGGUUAAUCUAACCUAAAGGUGUUCCUAACACUCCAUUGCCUUUAGAGUAAGAUGUGUGGCAAGCGAAACAAGUUCUAAACCUGUGCAUAUGAAGGGAGCAAUUGUUUUCGCGUACGGCGAAGCAGUGAAGUCGUCUGCAGUGUCCUGUUGGCGUUGAUGAGCUGCGUCGGGGUGGCGCCGGCUAACGUAGCAGACGCCUUGGACUCGGCACCUCACAUCGUUCAACGAGGACUGUCGCUCCAGAUAGCUGCGGCUACACCUUGGAGCCGGACACGCUACCAAAAACAACAGCUUGGUGGGAAAGAGAUACUACGAACGGGCUGUCCAUACUUCAGCGGUUGGAAGCAGCGACAGCACCCACGUGAGGAAAGUGCGGAAGGCAGAACGGUCGCCUACGAGGAAAAAUUCGGUCGAAACCUUCCUCGUGACAGGUGUGCACGCGUGGUCACGUGUGAUCACACACCCAUAGUUUGCAUGCAAGCUUGUUCUGAUGCUUGGUAUUAGUAA
Molecule: long non-coding RNA, 646 nt
Filed under: Dermacentor andersoni
Lineage: Eukaryota; Metazoa; Arthropoda; Arachnida; Ixodida; Ixodidae
Description: uncharacterized LOC126527120
Source: RNAcentral